AUACGUAGGGGGCGAGCGUUGUCCGGAAUGAUUGGGCGUAAAGGGCGCGUAGGCGGCCUGUUAAGUCUGGAGUGAAAGUCCUGUUUUCAAGAUGGGAAUUGCUUUGGAUACUGAUGGGCUUGAGUGCAGGAGAGGUUAUCGGAAUUCCCGGUGUAGCGGUGAAAUGCGUAGAGAUCGGGAGGAACACCAGUGGCGAAGGCGGGUAACUGGACUGCAACUGACGCUGAGGCGCGAAAGUGUGGGGAGCAAACAGGAUUAGAUACCCUGGUAGUCCACACUGUAAACGAUGAAUGCUAGGUGUAAGAGGUAUCGACCCCUUUUGUGCCGGAGUUAACACAAUAAGCAUUCCGCCUGGGGAGUACGGCCGCAAGGUUGAAACUCAAAUGAAUUGACGGGGG
This 398-nucleotide ribosomal RNA is filed under the name uncultured bacterium. RNAcentral's name for it is "partial 16S ribosomal RNA". It matches the Rfam family "Bacterial small subunit ribosomal RNA", at positions 523 to 919 of the family's 1533-position model. The record is from RNAcentral.